Non-coding RNA from Pelobates cultripes (western spadefoot toad), 295 nucleotides. The record is from the annotation of a GenBank genome assembly. Lineage: Eukaryota; Metazoa; Chordata; Amphibia; Anura; Pelobatidae.
GGCAGAAAAAACACAUUUUACAAAACCUCCCAAAGUACUCCCAAAACACUUGAUAUCCCCACAAUUAGUACAUCAACUGAUAGCCCUGAUUUGGGUGACCACCAUAUCCACAAAUCACCCAGAUCAGUUCAGGGGUUCAGGAAUUUCCUGGAAGUCUUAUUCUGACCAACCGCACGCAUGGUUUCAUGCCCAAAACAGUUCUAGAGAAUCAGGCUGUGCAGCUGAUCUACUUUGGGGAUGCAAAGUGCAGUUUGAAAUACCUAGCGUAGCUGUUCGUGGAUAAAGUCAGUGUAUG